AGCUGGGAUUAGCUCUGUAGGCGGCUGGAUGGUGUACGUCUGCUCUGCUGAUCACAGCUU
Molecule: microRNA precursor, 60 nt
Filed under: Oreochromis niloticus (Nile tilapia)
Lineage: Eukaryota; Metazoa; Chordata; Actinopteri; Cichliformes; Cichlidae
Description: microRNA oni-mir-10833 precursor
Source: miRBase by way of RNAcentral